GGAUUCCCCUAGUAACUGCGAGUGAAGCGGGAAAAGCUCAAAUUUGAAAUCUGGCGGUCUUUGGCCGUCCGAGUUGUAAUCUAGAGAAGUAAUGCCCGUGCUGGACCGUGUAUAAGUCUCCUGGGAUGSGGCGUCAUAGAGGGUGAGAAUCCCGUCUUUGACACGGACUACCAGUGCAUUGUGGUAUGCUCUCAAAGAGUCGAGUUGUUUGGGAAUGCAGCUCAAAAUGGGUGGUAAAUUCCAUCUAAAGCUAAAUAUUGGCGAGAGACCGAUAGCGAACAAGUACCGUGAGGGAAAGAUGAAAAGAACUUUGGAAAGAGAGUUAAACAGUACGUGAAAUUGCUGAAAGGGAAACGCUUGAAGUCAGUCGCGUUGGCCAGGGAUCAGCCUUGCUUUUGCAUGGUGUACUUUCUGGUUGACGGGUCAGCAUCAAUUUUGACUGCUGGAAAAAGGCCUGGGGAAUGUGGCAGCUUCGGCUGUGUUAUAGCCCCUGGUCACAUACGGCGGUUGGGAUUGAGGAACUCAGCACGCCGCAAGGCCGGGUUUCGACCACGUUCGUGCUUAGGAUGCUGGCAUAAUGGCUUUAAGCGACCCGUCUUGAAACACGGACCAAGGAGUCUAACAUGCCUGCGAGUAUUUGGGUGAAAAACCCGAGUGCGCAAUGAAAGUGAAAGUUGAGAUCCCUGUCGUGGGGAGCAUCGACGCCCGGACCAGAACUUUUGGGACGGAUCCGCGGUGGAGCAUGUAUGUUGGGACCCGAAAGAUGGUGAACUAUGCCUGAAUAGGGUGAAGCCAGAGGAAACUCUGGUGGAGGCUCGUAGCGAUUCUGACGUGCAAAUCGAUCGUCAAAUUUGGGUAUAGGGGCGAAAGACUAA
This 875-nucleotide ribosomal RNA is filed under the name Agaricus parviniveus. RNAcentral describes it as "Agaricus sp. HB-2018f partial large subunit ribosomal RNA". It matches the Rfam family "Eukaryotic large subunit ribosomal RNA", at positions 72 to 934 of the family's 3401-position model. The record is from RNAcentral. Lineage: Eukaryota; Fungi; Basidiomycota; Agaricomycetes; Agaricales; Agaricaceae.